RNAcentral lists this ribosomal RNA (253 nucleotides) under uncultured bacterium. Its description in RNAcentral is "partial 16S ribosomal RNA". It matches the Rfam family "Bacterial small subunit ribosomal RNA", at positions 524 to 776 of the family's 1533-position model. The record is from RNAcentral.
UACGGUGGGGGCAAGCGUUGUUCGGAAUUACUGGGCGUAAAGGGCUCGUAGGUGGCCAACUAAGUCAGACGUGAAACCCCUCAGCUUAACUGGGGAACUUCGUCUGAUACUGGAUGGCUUGAGUUUGGGAGAGGGAUGCGGAAUUCCAGGUGUAGCGGUGAAAUUCGUAGAUAUCGGGAGGAACACCAGUGGCGAAGGCGGCGACCUGGUUCAAUACUGACGCUGAGGUGCGAAAGCGUGGGGAGCAAACAGG